This 395-nucleotide ribosomal RNA is filed under the name Anaplasma phagocytophilum. RNAcentral describes it as "bacterial SSU rRNA". It matches the Rfam family "Bacterial small subunit ribosomal RNA", at positions 61 to 483 of the family's 1533-position model. The record is from RNAcentral. Lineage: Bacteria; Pseudomonadati; Pseudomonadota; Alphaproteobacteria; Rickettsiales; Anaplasmataceae.
GUCGAACGGAUUAUUCUUUAUAGCUUGCUAUGAGAAUAAUUAGUGGCAGACGGGUGAGUAAUGCAUAGGAAUCUACCUAGUAGUAUAGGAUAGCCACUAGAAAUGGUGGGUAAUACUGUAUAAUCCCUGCGGGGGAAAGAUUUAUCGCUACAUGAUGAGCCUAUGUUAGAUUAGCUAGUUGGUAGGGUAAAGGCCUACCAAGGCGAUGAUCUAUAGCUGGUCUGAGAGGAUGAUCAGCCACACUGGAACUGAGAUACGGUCCAGACUCCUACGGGAGGCAGCAGUGGGGAAUAUUGGACAAUGGGCGCAAGCCUGAUCCAGCUAUGCCGCGUGAGUGAGGAAGGCCUUAGGGUUGUAAAACUCUUUCAGUAGGGAAGAUAAUGACGGUACCUAUA